CCUCUUAGGCACGAUGCGCCACUAUAGUGGCUUUCGCGAAUGUCACCUUUCUGAACGACGCGUCAUUAUAGUGGCUCACUCGCUCACCGUUUGAAUUAAGUGAUCGUUUUCAUAUGUUUUGUUUCACACUCUUUUUGCCUUCACAACGUUUUAUAACAGUGUUAACAAUAUACAGACAGAAUAUACAGUCAUCAAAAAACUUCGUUUCAAUGUUUACGCGUAAUUCGCAUUGAACUCCGUCGUACAGAGGUUAAGAGAUCUCAGCGUUGUUCCACCGUUCCUUCAUAAGCGGUGCAGUCCCACGGAAUGUGAUCGAUGGUAGCGUUCACUGUAUCCACAAAUGCAUGCGGAGCUGGUAAUAAUGUGUCGCCUUGCAAGAGAGGAUGCAACGUAAUGUUGAACAUUCACCGCUGGAGCAAUGUAAACAUUUUAUCGUAAGAUCAACAUAGGAAUUAAAUAAGAAUGUACUGUUCAUGGGUGAAGAAGAGGAUAUUACGAAACAGCACUCGGAUCAUUCAUUAACAAAUGUCUUCAGCGACAUCUAUUGAAGAAUCAGGUAGAGCGAAGGAUUAACAUUGUUAUUUCUUAGUAUUAAACGAAUCUAAAAUUGAUUUUAGAAACAGCAUGUCGAAAUCCUUAAGGAACUACAAAACUGAGAGAAUUCGAUUUACAAUUGACAUUUAUUAAUCAGUAUCAGGAA
Long non-coding RNA from Colletes gigas, 700 nucleotides. RefSeq lists it as uncharacterized. NCBI's taxonomy places the organism in Eukaryota, Metazoa, Arthropoda, Insecta, Hymenoptera, Colletidae. The record is from RefSeq and is a predicted model, not a curated record. The transcript is spliced from 3 exons.